Molecule: long non-coding RNA, 563 nt
Filed under: Gopherus agassizii (Agassiz's desert tortoise)
Lineage: Eukaryota; Metazoa; Chordata; Testudines; Testudinidae
Description: lncRNA (ENSGAGG00000003186.1)
Source: RNAcentral
GUUAGAUUCAGGGGAGUAACUCUGGGCAGGGUGUGAGUGGCAGGCAAAGAGGAGGCAGCUGCUUUUCAUUCUUUUUGUUUAAUUUCCCACAAAACCGGGAGAGUUUUCUGUCUCUGCCAUCAGUAGUUUUCCACUCUCCGCCCUCCCCUAUCCCUUUAACCCUAGUGUGGCACAUCCCCCACCCCUUUUCUCUUUAUCGUGAGCCUGAGUAAAAGCAGCGAUGUUUCCUGGGAGAGCAGUUGCCCCAGAUGGAGAGGGAAGAAGACAAAGCAGGAAGCUGCAGCAGAACUGGGCCACCAUGACCGGACCCAGGGAGCCGAUGUGCCCUUGCAGUCCUUGAGAGAAACGCCCGACCCCGAAGAGGCAGCGAGGUCGAUGUCAGGACACUGCUGGUGUUUCUGCUCUGCCAGGGGACUCUGAAUGGAUUUGCCAUGGUGACAUGAAAAAGACAGGGGGGAUACCCGACUGCCGGCUGGGAGAUCCUACACACACACACGCAGCCUGAUAGUAUUUUAAUUUAUUACUGUGUUUUCCUGUGAAGGGAGUUGAGAGCAGGAGGGGGG